Molecule: ribosomal RNA, 914 nt
Filed under: Plasmodium cynomolgi
Lineage: Eukaryota; Apicomplexa; Aconoidasida; Haemosporida; Plasmodiidae
Description: SSU rRNA
Rfam family: Eukaryotic small subunit ribosomal RNA
Source: RNAcentral
UUCUUGAGUGUGUACUUGUUAAGCCUUUUAAGAAAAAAGUUAUUAACUUAAGGAAUUAUAACAAAGAAGUAACACGUAAUGGAUCUGUCCAUUUUUAGUGUGUAUCAAUCGAGUUUCUGACCUAUCAGCUUUUGAUGUUAGGGUAUUGGCCUAACAUGGCUAUGACGGGUAACGGGGAAUUAGAGUUCGAUUCCGGAGAGGGAGCCUGAGAAAUAGCUACCACAUCUAAGGAAGGCAGCAGGCGCGUAAAUUACCCAAUUCUAAAGAAGAGAGGUAGUGACAAGAAAUAACAAUACAAGGCCAAUCUGGCUUUGUAAUUGGAAUGAUGGGAAUUUAAAACCUUCCCAAAACUCAAUUGGAGGGCAAGUCUGGUGCCAGCAGCCGCGGUAAUUCCAGCUCCAAUAGCGUAUAUUAAAAUUGUUGCAGUUAAAACGCUCGUAGUUGAAUUUCAAAGAAUCGAUAUUUUAAGUAACGCUUUUAGCUUAAUCCACAUAACUGAUACUACGUAUCGACUUUGUGCGCAUUUUGCUAUUAUGUGUUCUUUUAAUUAAAAUGAUUCUUUUUAAGGUCUUUCUUUUGCUUCGGCAUUUGAAGAUCUUGUUACUUUGAGUAAAUUAGAGUGUUCAAAGCAAACAGAUAUAGCAUUGCGCGUUUGAAUACUACAGCAUGGAAUAACAAAAUUGAACAAGUCAGAAUUUUGUUCUUUUUUCUUAUUUUGGCUUAGUUACGAUUAAUAGGAGUAGCUUGGGGGCAUUUGUAUUCAGAUGUCAGAGGUGAAAUUCUUAGAUUUUCUGGAGACAAACAACUGCGAAAGCAUUUGCCUAAAAUACUUCCAUUAAUCAAGAACGAAAGUUAAGGGAGUGAAGACGAUCAGAUACCGUCGUAAUCUUAACCAUAAACUAUGCCGACUAGGC